UGGUUGUCGUCAGCUCGUGUCGUGAGAUGUUGGGUUAAGUCCCGCAACGAGCGCAACCCUCGACCUUAGUUGCCAGCAUUCAGUUGGGGCACUCUAAGGUGACUGCCGGCUAAAAGUCGGAGGAAGGUGGGGAUGACGUCAAAUCAUCAUGCCCCUUAUGACCUGGGCUACACACGUGCUACAAUGGGCGGUACAAAGGGUCGCGAACCCGCGAGGGGGAGCCAAUCCCAAAAAGCCGCUCUCAGUUCGGAUUGCAGGCUGCAACUCGCCUGCAUGAAGCCGGAAUCGCUAGUAAUCGCGGAUCAGCAUGCCGCGGUGAAUACGUUCCCGGGCCUU
This 336-nucleotide ribosomal RNA is filed under the name uncultured Anoxybacillus sp. RNAcentral describes it as "bacterial SSU rRNA". It matches the Rfam family "Bacterial small subunit ribosomal RNA", at positions 1046 to 1382 of the family's 1533-position model. Lineage: Bacteria; Bacillati; Bacillota; Bacilli; Caryophanales; Anoxybacillaceae. The record is from RNAcentral.